Molecule: unclassified non-coding RNA, 250 nt
Filed under: Hevea brasiliensis (rubber tree)
Lineage: Eukaryota; Viridiplantae; Streptophyta; Magnoliopsida; Malpighiales; Euphorbiaceae
Source: RNAcentral
CUCAAGGCUGUGAAGGACAUAUUUCAAGACAAAAGAGAAAAAUAUGAUGACUUUCUCGAGGUCAUGAAGGAUUUCAAAGCUCAAAGAAUUGACACGGCUGGGGNNNNNNNNNNAAGGAGUUAUUUAAAGGGCAUCGUGACCUAAUUUUAGGUUUCAAUACCUUUUUGCCUAAGGGAUAUGAGAUCACCCUCCCUUUAGAGGACGAACAGCCUCCACAGAAGAAGCCUGUUGAAUUUGAAGAAGCAAUUAA